RNAcentral lists this transfer RNA (68 nucleotides) under Pecten maximus. RNAcentral describes it as "tRNA-Thr". It matches the Rfam family "tRNA". Rfam says of the family: Transfer RNA (tRNA) molecules are approximately 80 nucleotides in length. Their secondary structure includes four short double-helical elements and three loops (D, anti-codon, and T loops). Further hydrogen bonds mediate the characteristic L-shaped molecular structure. tRNAs have two regions of fundamental functional importance: the anti-codon, which is responsible for specific mRNA codon recognition, and the 3' end, to which the tRNAs corresponding amino acid is attached (by aminoacyl-tRNA synthetases). tRNAs cope with the degeneracy of the genetic code in two manners: having more than one tRNA (with a specific anti-codon) for a particular amino acid; and 'wobble' base-pairing, i.e. permitting non-standard base-pairing at the 3rd anti-codon position. RNAcentral also lists the same sequence under 1 other name. Lineage: Eukaryota; Metazoa; Mollusca; Bivalvia; Pectinida; Pectinidae. The record is from RNAcentral.
CCACUUUUAGUUUAUGAAGAAUGGCGGCCUUGUAAGUCGCUGGAGUGAGUAGAGUCUCGCAAAGUGGU